UUCAGAUCCGACCCCGCCGCCCGCGCCCGCGCGCCACCCGCUCCUCCUCGCCUCCUGGAGGACGUCCGCCGCUCUUCCUCCGCCCGUCCCGGAGGCCUCAGUCGGCGCCCUCCGCCGUAGGGCCGCCGCGCUCAUCCCGCCCUCGGCGCCGCACCUCCUUUUCCUCAUGGCCUCGCACCUCCCCGAUCCGGGUUCCUCGCACGCUCACCGCUUCGCCUCCGUCUCCCACCACGCCGCACGCCCCACGCCAGAAAAGGGAAGGCGAGCCACCUUCGCCCUCCCCUCGCCCCCGCGCUGGUCCCGUUGCCGAGCCCAGUUCCCCUCACUUCUCCGUCCAGGCGCCGUCGCCAUCAAUCGAUCUCCCGAGCAAGCGACCUUCCUCCCCGAUCUACUCGUUGGUUAUGGCGGACGAGCCGGAGGAGCGAGGGGAGGGGGAGCAUGGACGCCAACUGGCGCCCCACCCAAGACUCAGGUCCCGCCACCGCGACCGUCGGAGGCGGGGUUGACCCGAACGCACCGGCGCCCCAUCGCCGGAGGCCACUGGCGCUCCGGGCUCCAGCCCGACGCCCGCGCUAGGAUCGUCAGUAAGAUAUAAGCGGCGACCUCAAUCUUUGAUUUGAUCCUUCAUCCCCUUGAUUUAUUGGAGCACUCCUUCCAGAUCCAGUCGCACUCCUCAUUCAGCUCCAUGUCUCCUGGUGCGGCGGCACAGUGAGAGGAUGUGAACGCGCGGCCGCCCAAGGGUGGUGGUGGUGGUGAUCUGCCUGCUCGUCCCUCGUCCUCAUCACCGGCCUCUCCGAGGUCGCUGCUGGGGCAAUCUCCAUGGGCCCUUGAGGAUGGAGUAGGAGGAUGAGCAGCAGCAAAUGAGCCUGAUGGUGAAGAAGCACCUGAUGACAAGAACUCGUUCAAGAGCUCUUUUGUCCUUCCAAAACAGGGUCUUGAUGUCCCCCUUACAGAAAAAUGUUCAUACAUGUUCCUGCAUGAUGCGUGUGUGCAUGUUGGAUGGUCACAUUCUAGUGUACUAGCUAGCUAGUAAGCUUGUUUUGCUACCAGAUGAUUGAAUGUCAUCUCAUUUUUUACCUCAUGUAGCUCACCGCCUAAUUUGUAGGUAAAGAUACCGUUGGCAUAUAUUAUCAACAGCAUUUUUUCAUAAACAAAAUAUAAAAUGUUGAUUUAGGUCCA
Triticum urartu is the source of this 1179-nucleotide non-coding RNA. The record is from RefSeq and is a predicted model, not a curated record. NCBI's taxonomy places the organism in Eukaryota, Viridiplantae, Streptophyta, Magnoliopsida, Poales, Poaceae.